This 252-nucleotide ribosomal RNA is filed under the name uncultured bacterium. Its description in RNAcentral is "partial 16S ribosomal RNA". It matches the Rfam family "Bacterial small subunit ribosomal RNA", at positions 524 to 776 of the family's 1533-position model. The record is from RNAcentral.
UACGUAGGUCCCGAGCGUUGUCCGGAUUUAUUGGGCGUAAAGCGAGCGCAGGUGGUUUAUUAAGUCUAGUGUAAAAGGCAGUGGCUCAACCAUUGUAUGCAUUGGAAACUGGUAGACUUGAGUGCAGAAGAGGAGAGUGGAAUUCCAUGUGUAGCGGUGAAAUGCGUAGAUAUAUGGAGGAACACCGGUGGCGAAAGCGGCUCUCUGGCCUGUAACUGACACUGAGGCUCGAAAGCGUGGGGAGCAAACAGG